RNAcentral lists this unclassified non-coding RNA (347 nucleotides) under Hevea brasiliensis (rubber tree). The record is from RNAcentral. Lineage: Eukaryota; Viridiplantae; Streptophyta; Magnoliopsida; Malpighiales; Euphorbiaceae.
GUGAAGAAUAGAUAAGUACGAAGGACCUAUAAAUCCAUUGUCAUAUGGUUUUGGAUUUGAUGAGGUGUCAAGCCCAUGAAUGUGGUUAAAGGGUUCAUCAUGAAAUAUUCUCUCCAAACUUUUUGGGUUCUAUGGAUCUCAACACGUACCAGAAAAACAUUCACAAGCCAUUAUUUCAAUGAUAUAUUCACAAGCACUCAAAAAAUGCAAAUGAAGCACAUGAUAUGUUCACAAGCACUUAAAAAAUGCAAAUGAACCACAAAGAAGUAGUAUUACUUUGUUCUUCCUUGCAAUUGUUUAAAUCAAUCUCUUCUUAAAGUAGGAUGUAUAAUUAACUAGAAUAUGGG